AGGCAGGACCCCUUCAGGAAUGAGGUGUUAUGAUCUAUCAGGUGAAGGACAUGUUUGCUUCCCUUUCCACCAUGAUUGCAAGUUUCCUGAGGCCUCCCUAGCCAUGCUGAACUAAGAUGAUAUGUGAGCCUGAACUCUAAGCCAUCUCUUUGAGAUUUAUGCAUUUCUGUGGACAUUUACCAGAUUUUAUCUAUAUAACAGAAAAAGAACAAAGGAUCUUGUUGAGAGGUGAAGCCAGCUGGACUUCUGAGCACAGUUUUUAAAGUAUCUAGUGUAUAUAAGGACAAGCCAUUCUCAGUCAAGCAUGAAACUGAAUCUGAGCAGGAAAAGAAGAAAGCUGAAAACACACUGAGGAUUAUGGGAGAGGGGCAAGUGCAUGAAGCUUCUCAAUGACAUACAGACACUCUAAAAGCUCAAGAGAUCAAUUAUUCAACUUCAAGAACUGAAAUUUGAACACAGAUUUUGAGCUUCCAAAUCAGGAGAAAAAGAAGUGUUCUAUAAGAAGUUUGGACAAGACUCUGCAAGAAGUUAAGAGGUCCUUAAAGGCAACUGUGAAUUAACGGAGACUAGUUUUGAGAAAAUCAGUCCUGAUUUGUUUCUCCUGGAGUUUUCUUCUUUAUGUGAUCCUUCAUAAAAGCUGCUAAUAUGGGAAAGAUUGAAAUCAGCAAGUUUCUGGCUGUAAGCUAAAAGAGGCUCUUGAAUCAUAUUUCCGCCUGCUUAGCAAAUUUCUCUUGCGACAAUUGGAUGUUAUUUGGGGUUCCAUACUAGCAGGAAGAAGUACAAGCAAAGCUAAGUCAUUUUGAGAAUAAAUAUUAUCUCUCUAUAUAUUUGUAAAUGUUAUUUUCUUUUUUUUUGAGGUUUAUGAUUGAUCCUUGGCAUGUGUCCCCUUGUGUAUUGCUCUACUAAAAAUAGCCUAAAAAAGAAUUUUCCCCUCGAUGUGGAGCUUCUCUUUAGUUACAAUUCUACUUUCUCCUUCACUUGAGUAUCAGUCUUCAGAGAACUACCAUAACAAAGGAGUGGAUACAGAUAUACGCAAAAAAGUCUAUGAGAAAAUUAGUACAUUAAAUUUGUGAAAGCUCAUUUAAAGUAAUUUUCUACUAACAAUUUUAAUCAAAUGUAUUAAUCAUAUUUCUAUGCUUAGUGAUGUUAAAUAAAAAUUUAAAAGGUGGCAAUCAAUAAACAGAGAUAAAAGCUUCUCAAGAAUAAAUGAAAGGAAGUAAUAAAAAGACUCACUAAGCUGAAUUGCCUCCUAUCAACAGCAGCUGAUAAAAUAUUAAAAGAUUUGCCUUGUGUAAUGUCUCUGGAGAGCUGUCUUACUGAUGUACGAGGCCAUGAUUGACAACUUUGAGACUUUGCUGGAAGCGACAAAAGUAUAUCUAUAAUAUUAUGCUGAAUUGCAUAGGUCUUUCUUCUUAAAUGAGGCUAGAAAUAACAUACCACCAAGUGUUUGGCUUUUAGGAAAUUGAGCAUUUUCUUUAGUUCUAGCUGCAGUUUAAUUUCCUCAGAAUUAGACAUUAUGCGGUAUCUGGAACGUUAAAAAAAAAAAAAAGCAAAAA
Long non-coding RNA from Homo sapiens (human), 1556 nucleotides. Ensembl annotates it as long intergenic non-protein coding RNA 1473. The record is from Ensembl. NCBI's taxonomy places the organism in Eukaryota, Metazoa, Chordata, Mammalia, Primates, Hominidae.